Xyrichtys novacula (pearly razorfish) is the source of this 136-nucleotide non-coding RNA. The record is from the annotation of a GenBank genome assembly. Lineage: Eukaryota; Metazoa; Chordata; Actinopteri; Labriformes; Labridae.
CGCAGCUUUGUCAAAUUCAGUGCUCUCUCCUUGGUAGGUUGCACUGGCCAAAAUGGCUGCAACACUAAACUUUGUAGUUCAUGGGCCCCACAUCUUCACCAUAGAUCCUGGGGAUAAAUAUGUGCUACAGACAGUA